Molecule: long non-coding RNA, 2038 nt
Filed under: Erythranthe guttata (spotted monkey flower)
Lineage: Eukaryota; Viridiplantae; Streptophyta; Magnoliopsida; Lamiales; Phrymaceae
Description: long non-coding RNA (EGUT_LNC001471)
Source: RNAcentral
ACAAAACAAAGUCGUACAUAAAAGAAUUAAAGUCGCAAACAAACAUGAAUCCAAAAAAUACAUAAACAAGAAUUUAAUCUUUGUUUUAUACUCCAUCUUUCAUAAGCUAAUGAAUUGGCCGUACUUUCAUCACUUCCACCAAGUAUAUACUAUUCAUAAACCUUCUCCAAUUCAGCCUGAACAAAUUAAGUACACACGUUAAACAAAAAUUUCGGCAGCAUAACGACUAAAAUAUGAAUAUACCAAAAAAAACCCCAUAUCAAUAUACAAUAACCAACCUGCCAAAAAAUAUAUAUACCAUAUAUAUCAACUACUAAUUCAACUCAUUGUGCACUUUACUUGCAUAUCAAUAUAUCAAUGUGCAAUCAAGUAUUAAAUCGGUACUACGCCAUAGAUAACGUAAAUUUUGUAAUAAAUCUCAACUAAACAUUCAACAAUAAAAUCAAACAUGGAUAAUUUACAUUGUAAAAAUUGAAAGUAUUAAAAAAUAUUGUGCUUACAGAAAUAGCAAGUUGAUCGGGAGUAGCUGUCCUUGUAAACGGUUCUUCUAUGUCAUCUUCACUAGUGGAUGACCCCAUUUCUCGUAAUGAAUCAAUGCCCAUGAAGGCUUUCUUAUGUUUAUCAACCACUCUUGAAUGAGGUUACGAAAAUCAUCAGUUUCUUGGGUGGGUUCUUCAUGCAGAUCGUGUUGAUCAUGAUGAAGACAAGCAUGCAAUAACUCACCCAUGCUGUCACCGACAUUAGCAUCUAUACGAUCAUACGUUACAACCUCAGGAAUUUCUACCGCACUAGUUUCAUUCAUUUCCCCUCCAAUGUAUUUUUUUUUUCAUUUUUUCAGACUCUAGAUGCAUUCUCCAUCGGCCAUUCCCAUAAAAUUUAUCCCAACCCCGCCAAAGUAAAUGCUUAUGCACAUAUUCGCGAUACCCAAAUUUUCGACAAUUACAAUCUCUACAUGGACACCUUAUUUUAUUAUCAAUGGCACACUUAGCAAAAGCAAAAUCUAAAAAUUCCACACAACCAUUUUGAAAUGCUUCCAAUCGAUGAUCAUCUAACAAAACCCAACUCCUAUCUUUUGACAUUCUUUACUUAGCGAGUAUUUGAAACUGAUAAAUAAAAAGAAAAUAAUCAACUCACCAAUUUACAAAAUUCUAUAUUAGGCUGAUAACUUGGAAAAAAUGAUCAUGCAAUUUCUUAGAUAACUAAUAGAAAGGUCAAAAUUCUUAGAUAAUUAAUAUUUUUGUCAUAUUAAUAAUAUACAUUUUUAUAAUAGAUAAAAAUGUAAUUUUAUUCCAAAUAAAUUAUUAUAGAUUUAUUAAUAAUAUAAUUUUUAUAUAUUUACUAUAUAAUCUACUGUUAAGUUCAAAUAGCAUGCGUGACUUUUCUUAUUAAACAAUUCGACCUAACUAAAACAUAUUUCCCAGAAUAAAGAAAUUAAUAUUGAAAAAAAAUGUUCUUGGGUAACACAUGGCUUUCUUAAAUUAACCUUAAAGCUUUUUCAUAUUUCUCUUCACCGUUUUUUUUUUCCAAAACAGAGCACAAAAUCACGAAAAACAGAGCAGACAAUAUGAAGGAAAAAAACGAAAAAAAUGAAUAUGUGCGGACUUCAUCAAUGAAAACCCAAAUCACACAACAACAAACCCAAAUCACUAAAUUAUAUUCACCAAUAAUUAAUAAGAAUAAAAACUGAGAAAAAUAGAGAGAUGUGGAGAAAGUAACUCACGUUAGAAUAAAUAUAUGUGGGCGGCGGAAUACAGUCUGCUGAAUCUCGACGGCGGAGUGUGACAACGAAGAGACACCGUCGGAGUGGGCUAGGGUUCGAGUUGCUGAGAUUCGAUAGCAGAGUGGCAGGCGGAGUGUGAUGCCGUCGGAGUGGGCUGCAAUUGAAGCUCGACGGCGGAGAGGGAGGCAGAGUGUUACGCCACCGGAGUCGGCUGCGUGGCAGGGCCCGUUGAAGCACGACAAAGGAAUGGGUAGCGGACGCCGGGGAGAGGCGACGAAGAGAUGCCGUCGCCGUCGGAUUUGUGAAAUUAUGAAGGGG